ACCCGUUUCUUACACACAAAUGUGCACCGUGCAGUGCAGCUCGCAGUCAUUCUCUCCGUCGCCAACCUUGCUCUGUUGCUCAAAAACUCUCCCUCAUCAUUCUCAAGUCUCCACUAGAUUUUCGAAAUCAUCUAUAGUUGAACCCCAUGGAACCUAGUGCUGCUAUGCCUUCAUCUGAGUCUGAAUCAAUGCCCAAUGUGAUUCAUUUGGAUAGCACUCUACCUCCAACUUUGGAUAGCUCUCUCCCUACAUCUAGUCCUCAAGUUCUUCCUCCUAUCUCAAAAAGACGGGGUAGAUCUGAAGUAUGGCAACACUUUAUGAGGGUUGAGGAUGUCGAGGAUCCCGAUGAGCCCAAAGCCAAAUGUGAUUAUUGUGGUGGAACUCAACAUAUUUAAUGUUGAGUGCGGCUCUUAAAUAUUAUGCGGCGUUUGAGGUGUUGCAAGAUGAAGACAAUGAGUUUGUCCCAUAUUUAUGUGAGGUUGGACAAGGAAUACCAACUUUACAUGAUUGGGAAACCAUCAAGGUUUUUGUACAAUUUUUGAAGCUUUUUUAUGAUAUGACUUUGUGGGUUUCAGGCUCAGUUUAUGCAACUUCAAAUUUGUUCAUUAAAGAAAUAUUUACAAUCUAUAAGCAUUUGAACAAAUUUUCCAUGAGUGAGAGUAAUGUGCUGAAAACUAUGUCGGAUAGGAUGUUGUUGAAAUAUGACAAGUAUUGGGGGGAUUGUGGGAAAUUGAAUAAAAUGUUGUUUAUUGCAUCUAUGCUUGAUCUGCGCUUCAAGUUGGAAGUUUUGGAGUUUUGUUUUACAAAUAUUCUUGGCCAUGAGCGAGCAUCUGAACUUGUUGAUUGGUUAAGGAGAAUGAUUGAGUGGAUGUAUAAGCAAUAUUCAAAAUCCAAUGUAAGUUCAAGUAGAGGCCAAUCAAGUGUUGGUGAGACCUAAAGCAACACUUCUUAUAAUGAUGAGGAUGAUAUAUUCAAUAUGUUUCAGCAAUAUCAAGCAUCAAAAGGAGUGGUAGAGUCUAAAUCAGAAUUGGAUAAGUAUUUCAUGGAAAGUGUUGAAGGAUCGACACCCGACUUUGAUAUUCUAAUAUGGUGAAAGGUGAACUCAAUCAGAUAUCCGAUUCUUUCCAAUAUAGCUCGAGAUGUGUUAGCUAUUCCAAUAUCUAUUGUUUCUUCUGAGUUGGCAUUUAGCGUUGGAGGUCGGGUCUUAGAUUCAUUUCGUAACUCAUUGGCCCCAACAACAGUUGAAGCUCUUAUUUGCAUACAAAACUGGUUGAUGGCUCUCUCCAUUAAUUAUGACUCACAAGAUGUAAUGGAAGAUGAUAAAAGUUACAAGUUAGAAACCGAGAUAACUUUGAAGAAUAUUUUGAAUGAGGUCGAUUGAAAAUUCUUUGAAGAAUACACAAUUCUUUGGAAGAUGAUGUAAUGGAAGAUGUAAUAGAAGAUGAUGAAAGUUAUAAGUUAGAAACUGAGAUAACUUUGAAGAAUAUUUUGAACAAGGUCGAUUGAAGAUUUUUUGAAGAAUACACAAUUCUUUGGGAGUAGGACCUAUGGAUACAGAAGCCGUUUGUGUAUUUUAAAAAUUAAACAAGACCUAUGGAUUUUUUUUUUUAGUGUGAUUACUAAAAGUACAUUUAUAUAGCAUUAUUGGUUUAUUAAAUGAAUAGUAAACAUGAACAUUAUUGGUU
This is a long non-coding RNA of Carya illinoinensis, 1685 nucleotides long. RefSeq lists it as uncharacterized. Lineage: Eukaryota; Viridiplantae; Streptophyta; Magnoliopsida; Fagales; Juglandaceae. The record is from RefSeq and is a predicted model, not a curated record. The transcript is spliced from 5 exons.